This 456-nucleotide ribosomal RNA is filed under the name uncultured bacterium. Its description in RNAcentral is "bacterial SSU rRNA". It matches the Rfam family "Bacterial small subunit ribosomal RNA", at positions 335 to 781 of the family's 1533-position model. The record is from RNAcentral.
ACUCCUACGGGAGGCAGCAGUGGGGAAUAUUGCACAAUGGGCGCAAGCCUGAUGCAGCCAUGCCGCGUGUAUGAAGAAGGCCUUCGGGUUGUAAAGUACUUUCAGCAGUGAGGAAGGUGGGGUAUGUUAAUAGCAUACUCAUUUGUACGUUAGCUGCAGAAGAAGCACCGGCUAACUCCGUGCCAGCAGCCGCGGUAAUACGGAGGGUGCGAGCGUUAAUCGGAAUUACUGGGCGUAAAGCGCAUGCAGGUGGUUUGUUAAGUCAGAUGUGAAAGCCCGGGGCUCAACCUCGGAAUUGCAUUUGAAACUGGCAAACUAGAGUACUGUAGAGGGGGUUAGAAUUUCAGGUGUAGCGGUGAAAUGCGUAGAGAUCUGAAGGUAAUACCGGUGGCGAAGGCGGCCCCUGGACAGAUACUGACACUCAGAUGCGAAAGCGUGGGAGCGAAACAGGAUUAG